RNAcentral lists this ribosomal RNA (549 nucleotides) under uncultured Acaulosporaceae. RNAcentral's name for it is "SSU rRNA". It matches the Rfam family "Eukaryotic small subunit ribosomal RNA", at positions 548 to 1097 of the family's 1831-position model. The record is from RNAcentral. Lineage: Eukaryota; Fungi; Glomeromycota; Glomeromycetes; Diversisporales; Acaulosporaceae.
UUGGAGGGCAAGUCUGGUGCCAGCAGCCGCGGUAAUUCCAGCUCCAAUAGCGUAUAUUAAAGUUGUUGCAGUUAAAAAGCUCGUAGUUGAAUUUCGGGGUUCAUCCGUUGGUCGGGCUUUUUUGGUCUGUACUGGCGUGAUGGAUUCCUACCUUCUGAAUAACCGGCAUGUCAUUAAUUUGGUGCGCCGGGGAAGCAGGACUGUUACCUUGAAAAAAUUAGAGUGCUUAAAGCAGGCUAUCGCCUGAAUACAUUAGCAUGGAAUAAUGAAAUAGGACGGCAUGGUUCUAUUUUGUUGGUUUCUAGGAUCACCGUAAUGAUUAAUAGGGAUAGUUGGGGGCAUUAGUAUUCAAUUGUCAGAGGUGAAAUUCUUGGAUUUAUUGAAGACUAACUUCUGCGAAAGCAUUUGCCAAGGAUGUUUUCAUUAAUCAAGAACGAAAGUUAGGGGAUCGAAGACGAUCAGAUACCGUCGUAGUCUUAACCAUAAACUAUGCCGACUAGGGAUCGGACGAUGUUAAUUUUUAAUGACUCGUUCGGCGCUUACGGGAAA